CCGAGAGCCUGAGCCCUGCUGGCGGGGAGCAGUCCAGCACCCGCCACCUGUGGGGGGCUCAGCACUCACCACCGGUGGGGAUUCAGAUCCCGCUGCCCAUGGUGGCUCGGAGCUCAGGGUCUCCCACUGCCCACAGUAGGUCAGAGCUCUGGGGCCGGCGGCUCAGAGCUCCAGGUGCCCCCACUGCAGAACAGUUUUCAGAGACACAUACAACACUAUACAAGCGAGAAAGAGGCUAAAGAGGCAUUACAAUUAAAUGAAGAAAAGAAAAUUGCCAUUUUGUUGGUGGGUAUCUUAAUUCUUACUAUUGACUAAGGUUAAGAUUUUGUCACAGUUAUAUCUAGUAAAAAUCAUGGAGCGGUCACGGGCCAUAAACAAAAAUUCACAGGAGCCCAUGACCUGUUGGGGACUUUUACUAAAAAUAAUCGGGGGGAGGGGAGCUGAUGGGGGAUGACUGAAGUCCGGGGGGGGGCAGGGCGGCCGAGAGCCUGAGCCCUGCUGGCGGGGAGCAGUCCAGCACCCGCCACCUGUGGGGGGCUCAGCACUCACCACCGGUGGGGAUUCAGAUCCCGCUGCCCAUGGUGGCUCGGAGCUCAGGGUCUCCCACUGCCCACAGUAGGUCAGAGCUCUGGGGCCGGCGGCGCAGAGCUCCAGGUGCCCCCACUGCAGAACAGUUUUCAGAGACACAUACAACACUAUACAAGCGAGAAAGAGGCUAAAGAGGCAUUACAAUUAAAUGAAGAAAAGAAAAUUGCCAUUUUGUUGACAAAGACAGAAACAGAGAGGCAGGAAAUUGUUUCUCAUUUUGAACGACUUCAUCAGAUUGUGAAGGAGGAAGAGCAGCGUCUUCUGAGAGAGCUGGAUGAGAUGGAAAAGGUCAUUCAGGAGUCAAAGAAUGAAUAUGUUACUAAACUGUCCGAGGAAAUAGCACGCUAUGAUAAAUACAUAACUGAGAGGAAGGAGGCGUGCAAGAAGACACCAGCGGAAAUAUGCAUGGUCAGAGAAGUUGCAUUCUAAGUAUAGAAAAAAGGGAGGCUCCUUUGCCCUAACAUGGGACUUCAGGGUUCUGAACUCGUUAUCUAUUUGUAUUUUAGUGGAGUGCCAGCUCUACAACGUUAAGGUUUAGCAUCACUUUCUGUUUAAAAUCCAAGUGCUCUAAAAUCCACAUUUAAUUUGGAUGGUCUUGAAAAUCACUAUACCUGAUGGGAGUACAAGGUAGAGUACUAGGUCCAAAUUUUUGGUCAUUUCAACAACAUACAGUCCCGUCCCCCCCAAAAACAAACAAACAAACCCUAAAACAAUAGUAAUUACAAAAUCAUCGCGCUCUUCUGAAGUUUUUUUGCACACACUGGACUCUCUGAGUCUCCCCAAACUGAGAUCAUCCCUCUGGGGAAGCAAUAUUUCCAAAGCUAUUCAGAGUGAAGUUUGGAACUGCAGAUCAGUUCUAGUUAAGCUGGUGUGCUAAAGUCAGUAAAGUGUGCACAUGCAGCAAGAGAAGGUCUGUUGCAAGCUGGAAGGGUUGUAGGCAAUCUGUAAUCACAGUGAGUGAGUGUCUCAAGGUGACAUCCCCUGAACCUGAAAAACACCCAUACACGGUGAGUCUGAGUCCUUCCUUUGGGAGCUUUCAGGGAAUCUGCGUUGUUCCUUGCAUUGUGCAGGGGCCAUUUUUGGACAUUUUGCCCUGAAACCAAAGUUUCUGGUUUGAGCCGUAUUUCAAAGUGCGUUAAAAUCCCCAUGCAGACUCUGAUUUUACUUUAGAAAUAAUGUCAAGGAAAUUAGAAGUGUCUAGUAAGCAGUUAGGAUAGUGUAAUUGGGCUCCUCAAUCACUUACUUAACAAUGAAUUGAGUGUGAUCAGAGGAAAGCAAGUCAUUGGGUCAUUUGGUCAAGGGAUGGACAGACAGCCCCUUUCAAGAGCUGUUCAUAACAUUUUCAGAUUCUUAAAACUCUUUUGGUGCAGAGCUAGGAAAUGGGUGUGUGUUUGGUGAGGGGGUUGUUGGAGCAAUGCAGAGGGCUGGGGAGCUGGGAGGGUGCAGAGCAAUGGCUUUCAUCCCUUGCCAACCUUUGCCCCUUAGGGCUGUGCUCUGGCACAGCUACCGAGGGGCCCACACCCUUGUUGUGUAAUGGAUUGUCCAGUCAGUGUUUUUGAAAAUCCAGUUCAAUGACUAGAGCUUUGACGAGGAACUGGAUUUCCAAAAGUCAUUUUUCUAUAAUCCCUCAAUGACUAAUGGAUCAUCCUUAAGGGAUCCAUUGUUCUCUGGGAGCUCAGAAGUGUGGACAGGAGGAAAUUUGGGCAUGUUCCCUUUUAGUGACAUGCUGUGAGAGAAGAAAAGUGGAGCCAUUUCUGCCCUCCCCCCUUUCCUUACAAAUAUUCCCCCCACACACACAUCCCUGAACAGUUCCUCCCCCUGGGUGAUCCACUGGGCUGAGGGAAGGGAUUCAGGGGCUUCCCUUUCCUCCACUGCACCCCAGUCAGGGGAAGGAACCCAGAACCUCCUCCUCAGGCUGCCCCCCAUCAGCAGGGAAGGAGAUCCGGGCUCACCCUCCUCUCCCCUGCCCCCCAUCCCUCCCCAUGCUGCCAUUCCUUGGAGAUCAGAGCAGUGUGUGGGGAGGCAAAGAGGUGGUCAAACCUGUGCAGUGGGGGGACGUAGGGGGCUUCAGCUCUGCCUCCCAACAUCCAUACAUCCCCCAUUUCUGUCCUUCCUUCAAAACAUGCCCCCCAGUGCUGAGACUGUGAUGGGGAGCUGGAAAUAAGCAUGUUCAGUGCAUGGCACAGGCACAGUGCUACGAUGGGAUAGGGAGCAGAGAACAAGCAUGCUUGGAGUAUGCACCAAGUUCUGUGCUAUGCUAACACCUGGUUGAGGAGGUGAGAACAGGCACAUUGGUGCAUGGCACAGGCCUACAAGCACUGGCAGUGAUGUGAGAUGAAACACCCACUGAGAUGAAUGGAGCAGUCACACCUCUCAUAGAUAUCAUUUCAGGCUGUGUUCAUCUGCAUGGUGUUCCCAUUUCACAGCUCUUUCAGCUUCCUGUGCUGCUGAUGUAUGCAAAGGGGCUCUAUACAUCCUAGGCCCAGACUUAGAGUAGAAGCUCUGCAGGCUUGUCUACACUGCAUAGUUAACUCGGGCAAGUACUUGAAUGUUUGCCCUAACUUGAAUCCUGUCCACAUACAAAUCAUGUCACUGAAAUAUGGAGGUGCUUUUUACUCGAGUAGCUUUGCUCAACCAGGGGUAUAGGGUAGUGUUUGAGUGAACCCAACUGGCUACCUGGUAACAUGACCACACUGCAGUGUGGAUGGAGGUGUAGAUUACUCAAGUGAUGCUAGUUGUCCAAUGUCUUCCCACAGUUUCUCUGGGCCAUGUGAGCAGUCAUUUUUUUUUAUCCUGUCUGUUUCUCCCCUACUUCCAGAUCAGAAGUCACUUGGCCCCUCUUAUAGGGCUGUUCUUCUUUGAGUAAUGUCUGUAUGGGUGCUCCGCUUCAGGUGUGCAUGUGCCCCGCCCCACAUGCCUUUGGUUAGAGCCAUUUGGUUGCAAUGACUGUUCCGGCUUCACAUGCACUCUAGCUAUCCUCGUGCCUCAUACGGAGGGUAUGUAGAAGAGUGUCGGACAAACCACGCUCAGUUCCUUCUCAAUUGCCUGGCCUGAGACGGAGCGACUAGUGGUGCCUGCUUUGACCUAGCUUACCUUUUAAUACAUCAGCUUAGUUUAGUUUUGCAUAGGUUAGUUUUUUCUAGUAUAGUUGAGAGUUUUUAUCAGGGGAUUUGAUCAUCAUCCUGCCACCUGCCCCCAACCUUCUGGAGAUUCUCUCCCAUUUUUUUUAUCUCAUGGGAGCAGAUUACUUCCAGUUCAUGUGUAUGCCUGUGCUACCCCCCUUCCACAUCCCUUUUCAAGGACCCAUUUCAUGAACAUUUGCUGGAGCAAGAAGUCCUGUCUCUCCUCUACACAGGAACUGUAGAACCAAUAACCGCCCAGCACAGAGGGAGGGGAUUCUAUUCCAAAUACUUUCUGGUUCCC
Chrysemys picta bellii (western painted turtle) is the source of this 4011-nucleotide non-coding RNA. NCBI's taxonomy places the organism in Eukaryota, Metazoa, Chordata, Testudines, Emydidae. The record is from RefSeq and is a predicted model, not a curated record.